Long non-coding RNA from Mesocricetus auratus (golden hamster), 474 nucleotides. RefSeq lists it as uncharacterized. The transcript is spliced from 2 exons. The record is from RefSeq and is a predicted model, not a curated record. Lineage: Eukaryota; Metazoa; Chordata; Mammalia; Rodentia; Cricetidae.
GACUCCUAGUCCCACCUAUCUAGAUUCCUAUUGGCCAGCAGUGCUUUAUUGACACAGGACUUCCCCAACACCAGGCCUGUUCACGCAUUACUGACCUCACCCUCUCCUGGGUUAGUAGACCAAGUGGGCAAACAGCAGAAAUCAAUGCUCAGUGGCCGUGGCUGCACCUCAGUGCUCUGGCCUGGCCAGAGGACUCCAGAAUCCUGCCUGGCCUUCUCCACGUGCCUUUGGAUGCGACGGGACCUCCAGGACCUCGUCAACCCCCAUCAGUGCAUUUCACCCCAAGGCAGCUCUUGCACCAUCUGUUCCUACACGCGUCGUUAAGUCGGAAUUUCAAACAAAACACUGCCCCCCCCAGGUCCCAUCACGAAGGCAAAAUCGAAUGGAGAGCAACACUGCUGUUGUAUUACUGCUGCUUCUGCUACUUCCGAAAUUUCUAUUAGUGUGUGCCUAUUCCAAUGAGUUUCACUUACC